RNAcentral lists this ribosomal RNA (443 nucleotides) under uncultured bacterium. RNAcentral describes it as "bacterial SSU rRNA". It matches the Rfam family "Bacterial small subunit ribosomal RNA", at positions 338 to 795 of the family's 1533-position model. The record is from RNAcentral.
CCUACGGGAUGCAGCAGUGGGGAAUAUUGCGCAAUGGGCGGAAGCCUGACGCAGCUACGCCGCGUGGGUGAUGAAGGCCUUCGGGUUGUAAAGCCCUGUCGGGAGGGACGAAGUUCUGACGGUACCUCCCAAGAAAGCACCGGCUGACUCCGUGCCAGCAGCCGCGGUAAUACGGAGGGUGCAAGCGUUGCUCGGAAUCAUUGGGCGUAAAGCGUACGCAGGCUGUUCGUUAAGUCGGGUGUGAAAGCCCGGGGCUCAACCCCGGAACUGCGCCCGAAACUGGCGAGCUUGAGUGCGGGAGAGGGAAAGCGGAAUUCCUGGUGUAGAGGUGAAAUUCGUAGAUAUCAGGAGGAACACCGGUGGCGAAAGCGGCUCCCUGGCCCGACACUGACGCUCAUGUACGAAAGCGUGGGGAGCAAACAGGAUUAGAUACCCUAGUAGUC